Molecule: long non-coding RNA, 307 nt
Filed under: Manihot esculenta (cassava)
Lineage: Eukaryota; Viridiplantae; Streptophyta; Magnoliopsida; Malpighiales; Euphorbiaceae
Description: long non-coding RNA (MESC_LNC012029)
Source: RNAcentral
GGGGUUUAGGCUAGUUUGAGACCCCUAUGAACUUGUAUGCUUGAUUGUGUAUGAUUGGGAGUGUUGUAGAAUAGGUUUAUGCAUGUUUGAAAGGUUUGGGAGGCAUUUGUGCAUGUUGGAGCUGAGUUUCUGCCACUUUGGAGAAACUCAGGUUCGGCCGCCGAAGGAACUUUCGGCCGCCGAACCCGCUUGUGGAGGCAGCCUUCGGCUGCCGAAGCCUGCCCCGAAAGAGGACUUUCGUCUCUGGAGGGCAGUUUCGGCCGCCGAAAGUGCCGCCGAACAUGCAUGAGUUUCGUCUCUGUCUGGG